RNAcentral lists this ribosomal RNA (497 nucleotides) under uncultured bacterium. Its description in RNAcentral is "partial 16S ribosomal RNA". It matches the Rfam family "Bacterial small subunit ribosomal RNA", at positions 28 to 507 of the family's 1533-position model. The record is from RNAcentral.
GAUGAACGCUGGCGGCGUGCCUAAUACAUGCAAGUCGAGCGAACAGACGAGGAGCUUGCUCCUCUGACGUUAGCGGCGGACGGGUGAGUAACACGUGGAUAACCUACCUAUAAGACUGGGAUAACUUCGGGAAACCGGAGCUAAUACCGGAUAAUAUAUUGAACCGCAUGGUUCAAUAGUGAAAGACGGUUUUGCUGUCACUUAUAGAUGGAUCCGCGCCGCAUUAGUUAGUUGGUAAGGUAACGGCUUACCAAGGCAACGAUGCGUAACCGACCUGAGAGGGUGAUCGGCCCCACUGGAACUGAGACACGGUCCAGACUCCUACGGGAGGCAGCAGUAGGGAAUCUUCCGCAAUGGGCGAAAGCUUGACGGAGCAACGCCGCGUGAGUGAUGAAGGUCUUCGGAUCGUAAAACUCUGUUAUUAGGGAAGAACAAAUGUGUAAGUAACUAUGCACGUCUUGACGGUACCUAAUCAGAAAGCCACGGCUAACUACGUG